AGAGGUAUAAUCUGCCCAUUGAUUGGGGUUUGAAUGGCCGCGGUAUUUUGACCGUGCGAAGGUAGCAUAAUCAAUAGUUUCUUAAUUGGAAGCUGGAAUGAAGGAUUGAACGAAGUAAGGACUGUCUCCUCGAAGUACAAUGGAAUUUAACUUUUAAGUCAGAAGGCUAAAAAGAAUAGUGAAAUGGAUUUGAAAGACGAGAAGACCCUAUAGACCUUUAUAUGUAUGUAAUUAGUAAAAUAUAAAUAAUUAGGUAAAUUUAAAAUAAUUCAGUACAUUUUUCAUUGGGGCAAUGGAGGAAGGAGGAACAACUUCCUUUGGUAGAGAACACAAAUGAGUGGUGAAAAAAAAAAGAUCCAAUAGGGUUGAUAAUAAGAUGUAGGUACCUUAGGGAUAACAGCGUAAUCUUCCUUGAGAGUUCCAAUCGACAGGAGGGGUUGCGACCUCGAUGUUGGAUUAAGGGAUCCCCUAGGUGUAACCGUUUGGGGGGAAAGUCUGUUCGACUU
This 506-nucleotide ribosomal RNA is filed under the name Apachyus peterseni. RNAcentral describes it as "partial 16S ribosomal RNA". It matches the Rfam family "Bacterial large subunit ribosomal RNA", at positions 1848 to 2587 of the family's 2925-position model. The record is from RNAcentral. Lineage: Eukaryota; Metazoa; Arthropoda; Insecta; Dermaptera; Apachyidae.